CACACCAACAACUGCACCUACUUUCUUACAGGGUUGGAUGCCUAUAACAUGCCUGCAUGGUGGGACAGCAAGCGGCUGAUUGCCCGCACACACUCAGAUGCACGCUUGCACACAUGCUCACACAUGCUUACAUGCACACUCACACUUGCCUUCAGACACACAUGGGUCCAGGCAGGGCCCUGGCUUGGCCUGACCUGCUUCCCCUGUGCUUUCUGCAGCUGCAGGGGGUGCUCUGCCCUCCUCUGCGGGGUUUCCACCCCCUCUGUCCUUGGGCCUUGGAUUCUGGGGGGCUGGUGGACUGAUGCCAACAUCCUCCUCUCUCUCCCCAGGAUUUUUGUCAACCGCAGCCUGGCGCUGGGGAAGAUUCGUUGCUUUGGCUUCGACAUGGACUACACUCUGGCUGCCUACAAGUCCCCAGCUUAUGAGGCCCUGACCUUCGAGCUGCUGCUGGAGCGCCUGGUGUGCAUUGGGUACCCGCAUGAGAUCCUGCGCUACACCUACGACCCCACCUUCCCCACCAGGCGGCUGGUGUUCGAUGAACUCUAUGGGAACCUGCUGAAGGUGGACGCCCACGGGAAUGUGCUGCUGGGUGCCUAUGGCUUCACCUUCCUCUCGGACCUACCCCUCCUCAGGGCAGAGAUCUGGAGCUUCUACCCCAGCAAGUUCAUUCAGAGGGACGACCUGCAGUGUUUCUACAUACUCAACAUGCUCUUCAACCUGCCUGAAACCUACCUCUAUGCCUGCUUGGUGGACUUCUUCUCUGGCUGCUCCCGUUACACUAAUUGUGACACCGGCUAUCAGCAUGGGAACCUCUUCAUGUCCUUCCGAAGCCUCUUCCAGGAUGUGACUGAUGCCAUGAAUAACAUCCACCAGUCGGGCUGUCUCAAGAAGACCCUGGAGGACUUGGAGAAAUAUGUGAAGAAGGAUCCACGCCUCCCCAUCCUGCUGGGGAAGAUGAAGGAGGUUGGGAAAGUGUUUCUGGCCACCAACAGCAGCUACAACUACACCAAUGCCAUCAUGACCUACCUGUUCAGCAUCAGUGAGGCUGAAGCCUCGGGCAGGCCCUGGAGGUCCUACUUUGACCUGAUCGUGGUGGACACGCAGAAGCCCCACUUCUUUGCAGAGGGGUUGGUCCUGAGGCAGGUCAACACGGUAAUGGCAGGUGCAGAGGACUCAGGAAAGCUCCACGUGGGCACCUACACAGGGCCCCACCAGCACUGUGCUGUCUACUCUGGAGGCUCUUCGGACAUGGUGUGCGAGCUGCUUGGGGUUCGGGGGAUGGACAUCCUGUACAUUGGGGACCACAUUUUUGGGGACAUUCUCAAGUCCAAGAAGCGUCAGGGCUGGCGGACUUGCCUGGUGGUUCCUGAGCUGUCCUGGGAGCUGGACAUCUGGGCCCAGGAGAAGGAGCGGUUGGAGGAGCUGAAGAGACUGGACACGCACCUGGCAGACAUAUACCAGCACAUGGAUGGGAGCAGUUGUGAGCUGCAAGUCAUCAACUUCACCAAGAGAGAGAUCCAGAGGGUCACCCAGGAGCUGGACCUGUGCUACAGCACCAUGGGCAGCUUGUUCCGCUGCGGUUUCCGCCAGACACUCUUCUCCAGCCAGCUGAUGCGCUAUGCCGACCUCUACACUGCCGCCUGCCUCGACCUCCUGUACUUCCGAGUGAGCUCAGCUCUCUCGGGCGGCCCCGGAGUUGAUGCCACAUGAGUCAGUUGUGGAGCAAGAACAGGCCAAUCUAGACCCUGCCUCCUGCCUCCUCUCCUGCAACCAGAGGGGUUAGGGCAAAGAGAGAAACGAGGAUCAGGAAAGUUACAUCGAGGCUGACGGAAUCCUGGACAUGGGCUGGCAUCACGGGCCAUCUUCUACUUGAGAUAUUUUUCAGAUAACACAAGUAUGGAAAAAGGAAAAAGCAACUGUAUUGAAAUCUCCUAAAUGCAGCAGAUUUGGAGCCUGCAAACACUUCUUUUAGGGAGGAGGCAGUAUUGCUCUUAACCUAGAAGGCAUCCUCAAUGGUCUUUGAGACGUUUGGAAACGUGUGCACAAGUGAAAUUAUUUUACCUACUUCUCUUGAACGCAUGAUGUCUCAUAUCCAAUUUUAUUUCUAAACAUUUCUUUUAAAAAAUAGUUAUUUCUGUGCACUUCUGAUUCUGUUACUAGUAAGAACAGUAAAACCUGAUUGGCUAUAUAUUGCCUCACUAACUGCUCUUUCAUUCUGGGUCACUACGAAAGAUGUUAAAUGAGAUAGCCCAAAUGUCUUUGAGUUUGUGUAUACACAUUAAAACACAUAAAAAGUCAUACUCAUGAUUUUAAAACUUGACUCUCGAAUGUGUUAGAAGCUUCUCUGUGGUAUUAAAGUGCUGAAGCAUCA
This is an RNA transcript of Homo sapiens (human), 2371 nucleotides long. It is a transcript of the gene named 5'-nucleotidase domain containing 4, with no coding region annotated. The record is from RefSeq and is marked validated. Lineage: Eukaryota; Metazoa; Chordata; Mammalia; Primates; Hominidae. The transcript has 17 exons.